AAAGCACCAACUUAGAAGACGAACCUGACACUACUCAAGAAGCAAUUGUCUUGAGACAAUCCUCUCGACAGUCUCGCCCCCUGCAAAACUUUGAGACUAUGUGUCUCAUCAGUUAUUGUACCCAAUUCAGAACUUCAUCACAUAUGAUAAAAUCUCAAGCACAUACUAGACAUACCUAAGUAAUAUUAUAGCUCACACUGAA
This 202-nucleotide long non-coding RNA is filed under the name Ricinus communis (castor bean). RNAcentral's name for it is "long non-coding RNA (RCOM_LNC001058)". Lineage: Eukaryota; Viridiplantae; Streptophyta; Magnoliopsida; Malpighiales; Euphorbiaceae. The record is from RNAcentral.